This 72-nucleotide transfer RNA is filed under the name Camelus bactrianus (Bactrian camel). It matches the Rfam family "tRNA". Rfam says of the family: Transfer RNA (tRNA) molecules are approximately 80 nucleotides in length. Their secondary structure includes four short double-helical elements and three loops (D, anti-codon, and T loops). Further hydrogen bonds mediate the characteristic L-shaped molecular structure. tRNAs have two regions of fundamental functional importance: the anti-codon, which is responsible for specific mRNA codon recognition, and the 3' end, to which the tRNAs corresponding amino acid is attached (by aminoacyl-tRNA synthetases). tRNAs cope with the degeneracy of the genetic code in two manners: having more than one tRNA (with a specific anti-codon) for a particular amino acid; and 'wobble' base-pairing, i.e. permitting non-standard base-pairing at the 3rd anti-codon position. The record is from Rfam by way of RNAcentral. Lineage: Eukaryota; Metazoa; Chordata; Mammalia; Artiodactyla; Camelidae. RNAcentral also lists the same sequence under 1 other name.
GAGGGUGUAGCUCAGUGGUAGAGUGGGUGCUUAGCGUGCACCAGGUCCUGGGUUCAACCCCCAGCACCUCCA